Molecule: ribosomal RNA, 57 nt
Filed under: Octactis speculum
Lineage: Eukaryota; Dictyochophyceae; Dictyochales; Dictyochaceae
Description: partial Eukaryotic small subunit ribosomal RNA
Source: RNAcentral
CACAUUGAUUACGUCCCUGGCCUUUGUACACACCGCCCGUCGCAGGAUUCAAGAUGG